UACAGAGGUCCCAAGCGUUGUUCGGAUUCACUGGGCGUAAAGGGUGCGUAGGCGGUCGGGUAAGUCUGAUGUGAAAUCUCAGAGCUCAACUCUGAAACUGCAUUGGAUACUAUUCGGCUUGAGGUCUGGAGGGGGGACUGGAAUUCUUGGUGUAGCAGUGAAAUGCGUAGAUAUCAAGAGGAACACCAGUGGCGAAGGCGAGUCCCUGGACAGAUCCUGACGCUGAGGCACGAAAGCUAGGGGAGCAAACAGG
This 253-nucleotide ribosomal RNA is filed under the name uncultured bacterium. Its description in RNAcentral is "partial 16S ribosomal RNA". It matches the Rfam family "Bacterial small subunit ribosomal RNA", at positions 524 to 776 of the family's 1533-position model. The record is from RNAcentral.